This 2267-nucleotide ribosomal RNA is filed under the name gut metagenome. RNAcentral's name for it is "bacterial LSU rRNA". It matches the Rfam family "Bacterial large subunit ribosomal RNA", at positions 3 to 2290 of the family's 2925-position model. The record is from RNAcentral.
UCAAGUUAUGAAGGGCGCAGGGUGGAUGCCAUGGCACUGGACGCCGAAGAAAGACGUGGUAAGCUGCGAAAAGCCACGGGGAGCCGCAAGCAGGCUUUGAUCCGUGGAUGUCUGAAUGGGGAAACCCGGCGGAAGUAAUGUUCCGUCAUCCGUGAAUGAAUCCAUAGUUCACGAGAAGGGCACCCGGGGAACUGAAACAUCUAAGUACCCGGAGGAAAAGAAAGAAACAUCGAUUUCGUGAGUAGCGGCGAGCGAAAGCGAAGGAGCCCAAACCAUUCGACUACGGUUGGAUGGGGUUGUGGGUCAGCAGAACGUACGAGGAAAUCUAGGAGAAGAGUUCUGGAAAGGACUUCCAAAGAGGGUAAGAGGCCCGUAUCCGAAAGGUUGAAUCGGCAAGCUGAUACCAGAGUACCACAGGACACGAGGAAUCCGGUGGGAAGCAGGAGGGACCACCCUCCAAGGCUAAAUACGAUCCAGUGACCGAUAGCGCAUAGUACCGUGAGGGAAAGGUGAAAAGAACCCCGGGAGGGGAGUGAAAAAGAACCUGAAACCCUGUGCUUACAAGCAGAGAGAGCACGAUUAAGUGUGAUCUCGUACUUUUUGUAGAACGGACCGGCGAGUUACGUUAUGCAGCGAGGUUAAGAACUGAAGGUUUGGAGCCGAAGCGAAAGCGAGUCUGAAAAGGGCGAAGAGUUGCAUGACGUAGACCCGAAACCGGGUGACCUAUCCAUGGGCAGGUUGAAGUGGAAGUAAAAUUUCAUGGAGGACCGAACCAGACGUCUGUUGAAAAAGGCGGGGAUGACCUGUGGAUAGCGGAGAAAUUCCAAUCGAACCCGGAGAUAGCUGGUUCUCCUCGAAAUAGCUUUAGGGCUAGCCUCGCAUUAGUUUACCGGAGGUAGAGCACUGAAUGGUCUAGGGGGCCUCACCGCCUACCGAAACCUAUCAAACUGCGAAUGCCGGAUAAAUGAUGUGCGGGAGUCAGGCCGCGAGAGAUAAGUUCCGCGGUCAAAAGGGGAACACCCCAGAUCGUCUGCUAAGGUCCCCAAGUACGCGUUAAGUGGGAAAGGAUGUUGGAUUGCACAGACAACCAGGAUGUUGGCUUAGAAGCAGCCACACAUUCAAAGAGUGCGUAAUAGCUCACUGGUCGAGUGAUCCAGCGCCGAAAAUGUAACGGGGCUAAAACGCGACACCGAAGCAGCGGGAUGCGUAAGCAUCGGUAGAGGAGCAUUGUGUGAGGAUAGAAGCCAGAGCGGGAGCACUGGUGGACUUCACAGAAGAGAGAAUGCCGGUAUGAGUAGCGAGACCCAUGCGAGAAACAUGGGCGUCGAAGGCCCAAGGUUUCCUGGGGAAGGUUCAUCCACCCAGGGUAAGUCGGGACCUAAGCCGAGGACUGAGGUCGUAGGCGAUGGACAGCAGGUAGAGAUUCCUGCACCACUUACACUUGUUUGACGAAGCAGUGACACAGAAGGAUAGGACGAGCGCGGUGAUGGUCAACCGCGUAGGCGGCACGAGGCUGGGGAGCAGUAAAGUACACUUCCCGUGAAGGCUGAGUGUUGACAGGACCGAAAAAGAGUAGGGAAGCGUCUGAGUUCACGCUGGCGAGAAAAGCUGCUAAGGAGAGUGUGAGUGCCCGUACCGGAAACCGACGCAGGUGGGCGAGGAGAGAAUCCUGAGACGGACGGGAGAACUCUUGUUAAGGAACUCGGCAAAAUGACCCCGUAACUUCGGGAGAAGGGGUGCCUCGAAAGAGGCCGCAGAGAAUAGUCACAAGCGACUGUUUAGCAAAAACACAGGUAUCUGCGAAAGCGAGAGCUGACGUAUAGGUGCUGACGCCUGCCCGGUGCUGGAAGGUUAAGGGGAAGUGUUAGGGGAAACCCGAAGCAGAGAACCGAAGCCCCAGUAAACGGCGGCCGUAACUAUAACGGUCCUAAGGUAGCGAAAUUCCUUGUCGGGUAAGUUCCGACCCGCACGAAUGGCGUAACGACUUGUGAGCUGUCUCAACAGGAGGCCCGGUGAAAUUGAAGUAUGUGUGAAGAUGCACAUUACCCGCGACUGGACGGAAAGACCCCGUAGAGCUUUACUGUAACCUGACAUUGGAUCUUGAUAACGGAUGCACAGGAUAGGUGGGACGCUGGGAGGUAUGGACUUUGGUCUGUAUGGAGCGGACGUUGGGAUACCACUCUUCUGUUAUUGAGAUUCUAACCUCAAGCCGUAAGCCGGAUGAGAGACAGUGUCAGGCGGACAGUUUGACUGGGGCGGUCGCCUCC